This 378-nucleotide ribosomal RNA is filed under the name uncultured Desulfocapsa sp. RNAcentral describes it as "bacterial SSU rRNA". It matches the Rfam family "Bacterial small subunit ribosomal RNA", at positions 1008 to 1382 of the family's 1533-position model. The record is from RNAcentral. Lineage: Bacteria; Pseudomonadati; Thermodesulfobacteriota; Desulfobulbia; Desulfobulbales; Desulfocapsaceae.
AGAGAAGUGCCUACGCAAGAGGAAUUCGGAGACAGGUGCUGCAUGGCUGUCGUCAGCUCGUGUCGUGAGAUGUUGGGUUAAGUCCCGCAACGAGCGCAACCCUUGUCUUUAGUUGCCAUCAUUAAGUUGGGCACUCUAAAGAGACUGCCGGUGUCAAACCGGAGGAAGGUGGGGAUGACGUCAAGUCCUCAUGGCCUUUAUGACCAGGGCUACACACGUACUACAAUGGCAGGUACAAAGGGCAGCCACUUAGCGAUAAGGCGCGAAUCCCGUAAAACCUGUCUCAGUCCGGAUUGGAGUCUGCAACUCGACUCCAUGAAGUUGGAAUCGCUAGUAAUCGCAGAUCAGCACGCUGCGGUGAAUACGUUCCCGGGCCUU